GGUAUGCAAAAACAGGCAAAACCAAAUCAUAGUGUUUUGGGAGGUAUGCUUACAUAGUAAAGCUCUGAAGGAAAACAAAGAAAAGGCGACUAAAGAGAAUGACAACUUACACAAUGCAGAAUCCUGGAUUGGAUCCUAGAUCCAAUCAACGUGUAGGGAUGCUGAUCCCACUCCAAGUCUAGAACAUCAUUCACAUCUUGGACAGCAAAUUUCACAUACUGAUGAAGGCGCCGAAUUUCCUAUAAGAAAAAAAUUAAAAGUCAUUCUGCAAAAUCUACAAGUGGAUAGCGCACCACCACUACCUGGGCCCACUGUGUCCCUGCAAGAAAGACAACGUGAAAGAAGGUUCUUGUAUGCAAAGGUGCUUUGCUCCUUCUGACAGUUUUUCAAAGUCAAACAGAAAGUACUUCUGGUGAAUCACAA
RNAcentral lists this long non-coding RNA (423 nucleotides) under Homo sapiens (human). RNAcentral's name for it is "non-protein coding lnc-FAM78A-3:2". The record is from RNAcentral. Lineage: Eukaryota; Metazoa; Chordata; Mammalia; Primates; Hominidae.